This 19-nucleotide ribosomal RNA is filed under the name Occidozyga sp. RMB7197. RNAcentral's name for it is "partial 12S small subunit ribosomal RNA". Lineage: Eukaryota; Metazoa; Chordata; Amphibia; Anura; Dicroglossidae. The record is from RNAcentral.
GGAAGGUGCCCUUGGAUAG